This 285-nucleotide unclassified non-coding RNA is filed under the name uncultured fungus. Its description in RNAcentral is "partial contains 5.8S ribosomal RNA, internal transcribed spacer 2, and large subunit ribosomal RNA". The stretch from base 1 to 52 matches the Rfam family "5.8S ribosomal RNA", at positions 103 to 154 of the family's 154-position model. The record is from RNAcentral. Lineage: Eukaryota; Fungi.
AACGCACAUUGCGCCCUUUGGUAUUCCGAAGGGCAUGCCUGUUCGAGCGUCAUUAUCACCCCUCAAGCCCCCGGCUUGGUGUUGGACGGUUUGGCGGAGGCCCCCCGGGGCCCUCGCCCCUCCCAAAGACAAUGACGGCGGCCUCGUUGGACCCCCGGUACACUGAGUUCUUCACGGGACACGUACUGGAGUAAGGGUGCGCGGGGCACGGUCUGCCUCCCCUCAGGGAGAAUCUUGAACUACAAGGUUGACCUCGGAUCAGGUAGGGAUACCCGCUGAACUUAA